RNAcentral lists this ribosomal RNA (1463 nucleotides) under Vibrio alginolyticus. RNAcentral describes it as "bacterial SSU rRNA". It matches the Rfam family "Bacterial small subunit ribosomal RNA", at positions 47 to 1420 of the family's 1533-position model. Lineage: Bacteria; Pseudomonadati; Pseudomonadota; Gammaproteobacteria; Vibrionales; Vibrionaceae. The record is from RNAcentral.
CCCGACCUAUUUUACCACGCCGACUGGGAAAGGGGGGCUUACCAUGCUGUCGAGCGGAAUCGUUUUAUCUGCAUCCUUCGGGGAGACUAUAAGGGCUUCGAGGGCGGCGGACGGGUUAGAUAAUGCCUUAGGAAAUUGCCCUGGUGUGGGGGGAUACCCCUUGGGAAAAGGGUGGUUUAAUCCCCGCAUGAUGCCUUGGGGCCAAAAGAGGGGGACCUUUGGGCCCUCUCGCGCUCCGGAAUAUGCCUAGGUGGGGAUUAAGCUAGUUGGUGAGGUAAGGGCUCCCCCAGGGGGACGAUCCCUAGCUGGUCUGAGAGGAUGUUCAGCCCCACUGGAAUUGAGACACGGUCCCAGAUUCCUACGGGAGGCAGCAGUGGGGAAUAUUGCACAAUGGGCGCAAGCCUGAUGCAGCCAUGCCGCGUGUGUGAAGAAGGCCUUCGGGUUGUAAAGCACUUUCAGUCGUGAGGAAGGUAGUGUAGUUAAUAGCUGCAUUAUUUGACGUUAGCGACAGAAGAAGCACCGGCUAACUCCGUGCCAGCAGCCGCGGUAAUACGGAGGGUGCGAGCGUUAAUCGGAAUUACUGGGCGUAAAGCGCAUGCAGGUGGUUUGUUAAGUCAGAUGUGAAAGCCCGGGGCUCAACCUCGGAAUUGCAUUUGAAACUGGCAGACUAGAGUACUGUAGAGGGGGGUAGAAUUUCAGGUGUAGCGGUGAAAUGCGUAGAGAUCUGAAGGAAUACCGGUGGCGAAGGCGGCCCCCUGGACAGAUACUGACACUCAGAUGCGAAAGCGUGGGGAGCAAACAGGAUUAGAUACCCUGGUAGUCCACGCCGUAAACGAUGUCUACUUGGAGGUUGUGGCCUUGAGCCGUGGCUUUCGGAGCUAACGCGUUAAGUAGACCGCCUGGGGAGUACGGUCGCAAGAUUAAAACUCAAAUGAAUUGACGGGGGCCCGCACAAGCGGUGGAGCAUGUGGUUUAAUUCGAUGCAACGCGAAGAACCUUACCUACUCUUGACAUCCAGAGAACUUUCCAGAGAUGGAUUGGUGCCUUCGGGAACUCUGAGACAGGUGCUGCAUGGCUGUCGUCAGCUCGUGUUGUGAAAUGUUGGGUUAAGUCCCGCAACGAGCGCAACCCUUAUCCUUGUUUGCCAGCGAGUAAUGUCGGGAACUCCAGGGAGACUGCCGGUGAUAAACCGGAGGAAAGGUGGGGACGACGUCAAGUCAUCAUGGGCCCUUACGAGUAGGGCUUACACCCGUGGCUACAAUGGGGCCAUACAGAGGGGGGCCCAAUUUGCGAAAGUGAGGCGAAUCCCAAAAAGUGGGUCGUAGUCCCGGAUUGGAGUCUGCACCCUCGACUCCCUCGAAGUCGGAAAUCGCUUGUAAUCUGUGGAUCAGAAUGCCCCCGGUGAAAUACUUUCCCGGGCCCUUUUAACACACCGCGUGUCACACCAUGGGAGUGGGGUGCCA